GGUAUAGAUAGAAUGGCUGAGUAUAAGUAUUAGACUGUAAAUCUAAGCACAAAGGUUAAAAAAUCCUUUUUCUAUCA
RNAcentral lists this transfer RNA (77 nucleotides) under Echimys saturnus (dark spiny tree-rat). RNAcentral describes it as "tRNA-Tyr". It matches the Rfam family "tRNA". From Rfam's summary of the family: Transfer RNA (tRNA) molecules are approximately 80 nucleotides in length. Their secondary structure includes four short double-helical elements and three loops (D, anti-codon, and T loops). Lineage: Eukaryota; Metazoa; Chordata; Mammalia; Rodentia; Echimyidae. The record is from RNAcentral.